Molecule: ribosomal RNA, 483 nt
Filed under: uncultured bacterium
Lineage: Bacteria
Description: partial 16S ribosomal RNA
Rfam family: Bacterial small subunit ribosomal RNA
Source: RNAcentral
UUGAACGCUGGCGGCAUGCUUUACACAUGCAAGUCGAACGGCAGCGCGGGCUUCGGCCUGGCGGCGAGUGGCGAACGGGUGAGUAAUGCAUCGGAACGUGCCCAGUAGUGGGGGAUAGCCCGGCGAAAGCCGGAUUAAUACCGCAUACGACCUGAGGGUGAAAGCGGGGGACCGAAAGGCCUCGCGCUAUUGGAGCGGCCGAUGUCCGAUUAGCUAGUUGGUGGGGUAAAGGCUUACCAAGGCGACGAUCCGUAGCUGGUCUGAGAGGACGACCAGCCACACUGGGACUGAGACACGGCCCAGACUCCUACGGGAGGCAGCAGUGGGGAAUUUUGGACAAAGGGGGCAACCCUGAUCCAGCCAUGCCGCGUGCGGGAAGAAGGCCUUCGGGUUGUAAACCGCUUUUGUUCGGGAAGAAAUCCUCUGGGCUAAUACCCCGGGGGGAUGACGGUACCGGAAGAAUAAGCACCGGCUAACUACGUG